CAAGCGGCAGCGCUGAAUUCCUCCUGCGGAGGAAACGGGGGACCCAACUCUCGGGGUGAAACGACAUCCGUCGUGGGGCGCCUUUCCGCCCUAACCCGUCAGCUAACCUCGUAAGCGCACGGAAAGGGGACGA
Molecule: small RNA, 133 nt
Filed under: Alicyclobacillus acidocaldarius
Lineage: Bacteria; Bacillati; Bacillota; Bacilli; Caryophanales; Alicyclobacillaceae
Also listed under: 1 other name
Description: c-di-AMP sequence
Rfam family: c-di-AMP riboswitch aptamer (ydaO/yuaA leader)
About the family: This family represents a conserved RNA structure found upstream of the ydaO and yuaA genes in Bacillus subtilis and related genes in other bacteria. The ydaO/yuaA element is thought to act as a genetic "off" switch for the ydaO and yuaA genes in its native state. It is believed that the element may be triggered during osmotic shock leading to activation of ydaO, a predicted amino acid transporter gene, and members of the yuaA-yubG operon which code for KtrA and KtrB K+ transporters.
Source: RNAcentral